Molecule: ribosomal RNA, 465 nt
Filed under: Vreelandella stevensii
Lineage: Bacteria; Pseudomonadati; Pseudomonadota; Gammaproteobacteria; Oceanospirillales; Halomonadaceae
Description: partial 16S ribosomal RNA
Rfam family: Bacterial small subunit ribosomal RNA
Source: RNAcentral
CCUACGGGAGGCAGCAGUGGGGAAUAUUGGACAAUGGGGGCAACCCUGAUCCAGCCAUGCCGCGUGUGUGAAGAAGGCCCUCGGGUUGUAAAGCACUUUCAGUGAGGAAGAACGCCUGGUGGUUAAUACCCAUCAGGAAAGACAUCACUCACAGAAGAAGCACCGGCUAACUCCGUGCCAGCAGCCGCGGUAAUACGGAGGGUGCGAGCGUUAAUCGGAAUUACUGGGCGUAAAGCGCGCGUAGGUGGCUUGAUAAGCCGGUUGUGAAAGCCCCGGGCUCAACCUGGGAACGGCAUCCGGAACUGUCAAGCUAGAGAGCAGGAGAGGAAGGUAGAAUUCCCGGUGUAGCGGUGAAAUGCGUAGAGAUCGGGAGGAAUACCAGUGGCGAAGGCGGCCUUCUGGACUGACACUGACACUGAGGUGCGAAAGCGUGGGUAGCAAACAGGAUUAGAUACCCUGGUAGUC